RNAcentral lists this long non-coding RNA (444 nucleotides) under Musa acuminata (dwarf banana). RNAcentral's name for it is "long non-coding RNA (MACU_LNC011232)". The record is from RNAcentral. Lineage: Eukaryota; Viridiplantae; Streptophyta; Magnoliopsida; Zingiberales; Musaceae.
AACUGUCACGACCCGACAAAAUAUCGACAAUAUUAAAAUUUUUUCCAACACAACUAACCCAGGAUCCAAACACACAUUUGAGGUCACUAAGAAAACAUUCAGAUCAAAAAUUUCACUUCUAUAAUCUACCAAUUCAUAACCCUGUGCAAUUCAUAAACAUAGCACACAUCACUCGAUAAUUCAUACAAUCUGAACUCGACUCAUCAAAAUAAAAACCACAAUAUAAAUCCACAUGUGGGGAAAUCUAUGCAGUCACCGCAAUCAUCGAUUUACCAUGAGUUCAUAUCAUUACACGAAUUUAAUUUAACAUUCCAAAACCCUAUACAUGAGGGAUCCUUUAACUUACACAAAAUCCACAGGUUUAGAUUCAUAGUCACAUUUCAUUAGAUGCAAGGUAGCUUAUACACAACUACAUAUAUGCUAACAAAAGUUCUGCCCAACGUC